ACACAGAGCUUGUACAGCCCUGUGAUUGUUGGCUGAGAUUUCAGCGGAAGUCUCCAUGAAAGGACUUUAUCCUGUGACAGCUGAUAGGAGAACUGUUUGGGGAUUACCAUGGAGCAGCUGACGUCACUUCACACACAAACACACACACACACAGGAGUGUCAGUGAGGGUGUGGAGGUGAGGUAAUACUUCAACUUAGGUGAGAUUAAAUAGGGGAAAUCUGAGAAACAGCCCUCACACUGUUUCUGACCUAACUUUAGAGGAGCAGUGUGUGAGAUUUACAGGGAAUCUAUCAGUGAGGAUUGUAGAUUACAACAAACUAAAACUUCUCCCGUUUAGGAUUCCUUCAGUGCUCAUUGUUCAGGAGAUUUUUACUGGGAGCCAAAUUAUCCACAGAUGUCUCUCCCUCUACAAAACAAAUGGACCCGGUGAUUUAACCUGGUAAAAACACUGAAUGGAGACGUUUCACGUUAAAAGUCAGUGUUUUUCCAAUGCUGUUUGGCAUUUCGGAAACGGAGCCCAGCACCUGCUAAUCUGUGCUCGCCUAUUUUCUCUGUAUAAUUUCAGAUCCAGAUGUUUGGGGGGUUUCUAUUGGGAGCUGAAUUAUCCACAGAGGCCUCUUCGUCUCCAAGACAAAUGGACAUGAUCCCGAUGUUCAGGAUGUUUUUACCAUGAGCUGAAUUAUCCACAGAGGUCUCUUCCUCUCUAAAGGAAAUGGACACGAUCCAGACAUCCAAGAGGUUUUUAGCGGGGGCAGAAUUAUCUGCAGAGGUCU
Long non-coding RNA from Epinephelus fuscoguttatus (brown-marbled grouper), 774 nucleotides. RefSeq lists it as uncharacterized. The record is from RefSeq and is a predicted model, not a curated record. The transcript has 3 exons. Lineage: Eukaryota; Metazoa; Chordata; Actinopteri; Perciformes; Serranidae.